Molecule: ribosomal RNA, 88 nt
Filed under: Clostridium sp.
Lineage: Bacteria; Bacillati; Bacillota; Clostridia; Eubacteriales; Clostridiaceae
Description: partial 16S ribosomal RNA
Rfam family: Bacterial small subunit ribosomal RNA
Source: RNAcentral
UUUAUUGAGAGUUUGAUCCUGGCUCAGGACGAACGCUGGCGGCGUGCCUAACACAUGCAAGUCGAGCGAGAGGAGUUCCUUCGGGAAC